This 505-nucleotide long non-coding RNA is filed under the name Fukomys damarensis (Damara mole-rat). Its description in RNAcentral is "lncRNA (ENSFDAG00000030821.1)". The record is from RNAcentral. Lineage: Eukaryota; Metazoa; Chordata; Mammalia; Rodentia; Bathyergidae.
AAGAAAUCCAUGGGUGCACUGCUUUCAGCUGUUUAUAAGAGGUCUUAUCAUUAGAGCAACAGCAGGCAUCCAGGAACCAAGCUUGCCGGCAGGGCUGGACAUACAGGAUUAAAAUAAUCAUCCAUCAGGCUCUGUCUCAUAAAUGUUUUUCUUUGACUUUUGGCAGGAUCUCCAGCCUGAGCAUAUGCCAGUUGACAUGGGAACACAGAGGCCGGCAAUUUAAGGAUUUUCACACUUGCUUGCAGUGGUUUCUGACCAGACAAACUAAACUUCUGCAAGCUUUUCCCAGUGGAGACGUGUCCUACCUUGAGCUGGCCCUCCGCAGAGGAAUAACUCCCUUCAACAGCUGAAGCUACUUCUGCCCAUCUCAAGUGACCCCAAAGGACGCUUUUGAACUUCACUGCCUCUAAAAUCUACUUAAAACCAACGUCUUUCUCCACUUAAAUAGCAUAUGCAUGUGAUAUGCAAAUCAUGAAACUCACUAAAUUUUAAAAACGGUCACCCA